CCUUCACGGAAACACAGCUUGGAACAAAGUGGAGGCUCCGUUUCUUGACACUGCAUCGAGUCCAAUGAGCUAUAGAUGCUGAAUCCAAAGUACCACUGAACCGCUUUAAAAAGUGUCACUUGAUGUUGUAAACAAAUCUUAAUGUGUACCAAAAUUAUUUAUAUUCCUUCAACAAGGCCUUAUUUGUCACGUGCAAUUUCAGAGUUGCUACAUAUCAUAUCUCGAGUUUCCCUUGACAUGUCUGAGAGCAAAAAUGAGUGACAAAAUUAAACAAAAUUCGAACCGACAUAAAAGAAUCAUCGUAAAAAUCUGAAUGUCUCUCGUCACUAGUGCAAAAGAUUUCUUUGUGUGAAGUCGCAGUGAGCAGGUGAGUAGGAGGCGUGACUUGAUUGACAGCUGCAUUUCCAAAUGAUCGAUUGUACUCUUAUGCGUUCAGUCAGGGAUCCCUACGACAACUAUUUUUUUUUUCUGGUCGACACGUUGCUAAAGGGAAAUCAGAUAUCAGAAGUUAAAAGUGCAAUUACGUCUGUUGAGAAGUCAUGAUUGCUGGAACUUCAUCAUGAAUCAGUUAAUCCUCAAAAUCCUCAGCUAAGGUCCGUACAUUUCUACCUUUGAUUCGCUGUAUCUAAGUAGGCUGCUGGGAGGGUUUUCAUAUAUAGCCUACGCUUGACACCUUCAAACUGCAAAUUCAGCGACUUUAACUUUAUGCAAACAACAAUGACUGCAAGUUUCACACAGGAUAAACAACUUCUGUAUCACAUGCCGUGACUGUAGGCUAUUCAACAGGAAACCGGAGAUAGUGAGAGAAGACAGAACAAAAACAUACUCUCUCUAAAUAUUCCAAAAUACUCCAAACAUAUGUUCACGUAAUUGUAUUUUGAAUAUUAUAAGUUCAUUUAAAAAGAGGAAAAUCAAACUACAAAAAAAUACAUAACAUAAAACGUGUAACACAUUAAUUUGUUAAUAAAAUUAAGUUAAUAAAAAAAUUAAACAAUUAAAAAUAACCCAAAUAGCCUAUAUAAUAGGCUAAACAGAGCUGUCCUUUAAGUUUUAUCUUCUGUGUACAAACUGAGCACUUCCUUUAGAUUUUAUGAAAACAAAAUUAGCAUAAGAAAACAGAGACAUAUUGGAGCAAUGGCUACACGUUUCAUAACUUCAAUAAGUCUUGUUAUGGUUAAAAACCUACUAUUUGACGGGAUAAAAUUAACUUAUAUUAACGGGUAUGAAUGUUCGUUGCGGCCGAAGCCAACGUUUCAAGAGGCCCAAUACAAGGCCUACAACACAAAAGCGCUUAGCUUUGAAUGAUUUGCUGUUAAAUAGGCCGCUUAGACAAGAAAAAUAAUAAAUAAUCGGAGGACAUUCCUAUCACGUCAGACUGUCUCAAAUAGAAGAGGCAGAAGGAAAACUUCUGUUGUCAGUUUCCAUUGAAUCCACGUAGCCUAUAGCAGCUUGCAAUCUGGUGCACACGAAGGUAUGGGCACAGCCUUAUUUAAAAGCCGCAAGCAUAUAUGGCUUAAUUAUUUCAAGGUUUCUUCCGUCUCUUGUGCAUGGCGGUGGCUGAAAGCGCGAUGCAACUGAUAUUUGUUUGUUCUAAUUUUGGGGUAAAAGAGGCAAGUCGGAGAGGAUACUUUUGUCAAUUUGAAGAAAAUAACUAUGACAAACCAUCCCCUACCUUAGAGAAUUUUAAAAUUAUUAAAUUAUAUUUAAGUUGAAAAAUGAAUUUCCUGCAAACCGCUUCUGAAUCAAUACAAAUUCAAAUAGGCCCGAAGUGAUCUGGCAUUCUGAUUUGGUAGGCUAAUCGUGAAAUGGACAAAGCUGUGGGAUGGAGACAAUGCAUAACCAAUCUGCCUCAAUUGAAAAGUAAUCUGACUGACACCAGAAGAGGAAACAAUAAACAAAGAAUGAGCUGCCAUAUGUUUAACAGCUGUUCUUUAAUGUGCACAUUAUAUGCACAAAUUAGACAGCAGGGGGCGAUAAUAAGUGAAUGCAUAAUUACCGAUGGAAAUCAAACUUUCUGGUCCAAGUUUCUCGAUAACGAUUAGUGUUCCCUAUACCUUCCUUUACGAGCGAUAGUUCCUUUGCUGGAGACAUGGAGCGUUCACCCGUGGUGAAGCCCUGUGCUGAAUGAUCCUGCCAAUGAGAAUGAAGCGAUAAAGAUGACCGCAAUGCCGCAGGACCUUGCGGAGCGUUGUUGGGUAUGGAUGCGCAGGAAGAGUGGGUUGUAGAAUGAAAAUACAAUGGGAAGAUGUCUUGACGAAGCAACACAUCGGCAAUAUAUGGCCAGUUCUCAUGGACGUUGUCUGAAACAAUCAAAGUGGUCGUACAAGCAAAUCAGCGCACUUUGUUGAUUUAAAUAAAGCCAUAAAAUCCCGACAUAAAAG
This is a long non-coding RNA of Cyprinus carpio carpio, 2381 nucleotides long. The record is from Ensembl. Lineage: Eukaryota; Metazoa; Chordata; Actinopteri; Cypriniformes; Cyprinidae.